This 63-nucleotide transfer RNA is filed under the name Felis catus (domestic cat). It matches the Rfam family "tRNA". Rfam says of the family: Transfer RNA (tRNA) molecules are approximately 80 nucleotides in length. The record is from Rfam by way of RNAcentral. Lineage: Eukaryota; Metazoa; Chordata; Mammalia; Carnivora; Felidae. RNAcentral also lists the same sequence under 5 other names.
CAAGAUGUAGCUUAAAGCAUCUGGCUUACACCCAGAAGAUUUCACAUCAAAUGAUCAUCUUGA